AAGGCUUUAAGUUAAUUAAACUAAUAUCCUUCAAAGCUAUAAAUAAAGAAAAUUAGUACUUUAGGCCUUA
Molecule: transfer RNA, 70 nt
Filed under: Pseudoglomeris angustifolia
Lineage: Eukaryota; Metazoa; Arthropoda; Insecta; Blattodea; Blaberidae
Description: tRNA-Trp
Source: RNAcentral